AGUUUGGGUUUGUCUGAGGCUUCCUCAUGAUUAGAUUCAGGUGAUGCAUUCUGAGUGGGAAUACUGCUUAGGUGUUUCACAGAAGUUCUUAAAUAAGCAUCUCAUGGUAGUCACAGGGAAGUCAGGUGACUCAGACACAGGAAGUAGAUUAUGAUUUAAAAGCUCUUAAUAACAGUCGCUAACAUUUAUUGAGUGCUUGCUGUUUGACACGCCUCUCUGUGUUUGUUGAUUUGGGCACUAUUCUCUCCUUGUACCGGGUGCUUAUGUUGGAUCACAAUAAAACGAUAAUAGCAGUACAGGUGUUGAGCUUUAUUAGGCCCCAUAUUGUCCAUCUUCUUUUCAUGCACAAGGUCCAUUAAGUCUUACUACCACCCAAACACUACUAUUAUCUUCAUUUUACACAUGAGGAAACUAGCCUCAGAGAGGGUGUCGCUUGCACCAGCUCUCGGAGCUACCAAGCUGGGACUGUUUGCCACCAGAGUAUGAGCACUUAGUUGGUCCCCUAUACCAUUUCUUCUCUGGUAUGUAGCACUGACAAGGCCCUGCUAGUAUUCCAGCUCAGAACACUGAGAACAAUCCAUGUCCCACCCCCUAGACUCCCAGCAAGCUGGGAUGUUUUCUCUCCCAUAUUCUGAACUCCCCCACUUACCCCACACAUAAGGAGCAUGAGAACUUGGGAGAUACCCCAUGCUGAAUCCUACUGCAGGAUGACAUUUCUCCUCUACAGGCAGAGCCUGCUCCAAAGUCAGCCAAGAACCAGAUUUACGUGCAGGCCAGUGUCAUUCCUAAGACAUGACCUUAAGAAUUCAGCCCUGGAGAUUUGUUGCCACAAAUAGGUCUUCCAAAUCACCAUAUUUGGUUAAUCAUGAUCCAUGAGAAUCCUGAGCAACUUACUCUUUGAUGAGUACACUAUCCCUGAAGCUCUGAGAACAAUUCCAUGAAGCAUGUCGAAUGCAACUCUUGAAAUCUGAAUGAUGAGAUGGCCAACGUCUUAGAGGAAGAUGCUUCAGCCCAAGCCAGGGAGAUUGUCCCUAACUCUGGAUGGAUUCCAGCAGCCCUAACAGAGGCAGAUUUUACGAGGUAGUUACCAGUGGCCUCAGAGAUGUUCCUUUGCCACAUCUCUGAAGCUUUUUGUCCAUGACCCAUUCUUAAAAAACCAGGACCUGCCCAACUCAACCAGGUUCUGCCAGUCUGGAGGGUUUGGCAGGAGGGAGGCUGCCUUUGUGGUGGAGUUAAAUACCAAGAGAGUCCUGCUGGGCACUAGUCCCACCUAGGUCUGGAGCAAGAGGCAGACAAGGAAGCCUUCAUUCAGGGCAGCAGAAGAUACCACUCCUCACCCCCACCCCUCACACACUGCUCAGCACAUAAUAAGUGCUCAGUAAGAUUUUAUUAUAUGAAUGAAUAAACACUCUGAUGGAAGAAGUCCCUAGUGCA
RNAcentral lists this long non-coding RNA (1434 nucleotides) under Felis catus (domestic cat). Its description in RNAcentral is "lncRNA (ENSFCAG00000051930.1)". Lineage: Eukaryota; Metazoa; Chordata; Mammalia; Carnivora; Felidae. The record is from RNAcentral.